CCUGGUCUAUGAUGACUUCUGUCUGGAGACUGUUGGAUGAGUCCUGCGGAUAUGGGGCUGAGGCCAAGG
RNAcentral lists this small nucleolar RNA (69 nucleotides) under Acanthisitta chloris (rifleman). RNAcentral's name for it is "Small nucleolar RNA SNORD99". It matches the Rfam family "Small nucleolar RNA SNORD99". From Rfam's summary of the family: The members of this family belong to the C/D class of snoRNAs which contain the C (UGAUGA) and D (CUGA) box motifs. The record is from Rfam by way of RNAcentral. Lineage: Eukaryota; Metazoa; Chordata; Aves; Passeriformes; Acanthisittidae.